CCUACGGGGUGCAGCAGUGGGGAAUAUUGGACAAUGGGCGAAAGCCUGAUCCAGCCAUGCCGCGUGUGUGAAGAAGGCCUUCGGGUUGUAAAGCACUUUCAGUGGGGAAGAAAGCCUUGGGGCUAAUACCCUCGAGGAAGGACAUCACCCACAGAAGAAGCACCGGCUAACUCCGUGCCAGCAGCCGCGGUAAUACGGAGGGUGCGAGCGUUAAUCGGAAUUACUGGGCGUAAAGCGCGCGUAGGCGGUCUGAUAAGCCGGUUGUGAAAGCCCCGGGCUCAACCUGGGAACGGCAUCCGGAACUGUCAGGCUAGAGUGCAGGAGAGGAAGGUAGAAUUCCCGGUGUAGCGGUGAAAUGCGUAGAGACCGGGAGGAAUACCAGUGGCGAAGGCGGCCUUCUGGACUGACACUGACGCUGAGGUGCGAAAGCGUGGGUAGCAAACAGGAUUAGAUACCCUAGUAGUC
Molecule: ribosomal RNA, 465 nt
Filed under: Vreelandella stevensii
Lineage: Bacteria; Pseudomonadati; Pseudomonadota; Gammaproteobacteria; Oceanospirillales; Halomonadaceae
Description: partial 16S ribosomal RNA
Rfam family: Bacterial small subunit ribosomal RNA
Source: RNAcentral